GGAUACCGCUUAGCUGCCACAACUUAUUGUUCGCCUUUUGAGCUUUCUUCGACAGCUCUCUACAGAGAUCAGAGGUCGUGUUCAGCCUACGGUGAGAAGACAAGAUAUUAUAACGGAUGAUUGAUACCUGUACGAAGUCAUAACUUCAGGAUCUCUCAGGAGUCUCUGCCUCCGCAAGACAUUGACGAUCAGAAAAUAAAGCACUUGCCAAAGAGUAUAAACCACCAAGGGGAUGAGAAACAGCCAUGUGAAAAGGUAAGGCUUAUCAUCCACGUAAGGCCAUGAAACCCUACGAGCAGUGCCAACAGGGUGCAUAGCUGCGAA
This 324-nucleotide long non-coding RNA is filed under the name Brassica rapa (field mustard). Its description in RNAcentral is "long non-coding RNA (BRAP_LNC002796)". Lineage: Eukaryota; Viridiplantae; Streptophyta; Magnoliopsida; Brassicales; Brassicaceae. The record is from RNAcentral.